AUUGAACGCUGGCGGCAUGCUUUACACAUGCAAGUCGAACGGUAACAGGCCUUCGGGUGCUGACGAGUGGCGAACGGGUGAGUAAUGCAUCGGAACGUGCCCAGAGGUGGGGGAUAACGCAGCGAAAGCUGUGCUAAUACCGCAUGUGAUCUGAGGAUGAAAGCGGGGGACCAGGCAGCAAUGUUUGGCCUCGCGCCUUUGGAGCGGCCGAUGUCAGAUUAGGUAGUUGGUGGGGUAAAGGCCUACCAAGCCGACGAUCUGUAGCUGGUCUGAGAGGACGACCAGCCACACUGGGACUGAGACACGGCCCAGACUCCUACGGGAGGCAGCAGUGGGGAAGUUUGGACAAUGGGCGCAAGCCUGAUCCAGCAAUGCCGCGUGCGGGAAGAAGGCCUUCGGGUUGUAAACCGCUUUUGUACGGAACGAAAAGGCUCUGGCUAAUACCUGGGGCUGAUGACGGUACCGUAAGAAUAAGCACCGGCUAACUACGUG
RNAcentral lists this ribosomal RNA (492 nucleotides) under uncultured bacterium. Its description in RNAcentral is "partial 16S ribosomal RNA". It matches the Rfam family "Bacterial small subunit ribosomal RNA", at positions 30 to 507 of the family's 1533-position model. The record is from RNAcentral.